GGCCGCAUGGUCAGUUGAAGAAAUGCUCCGGCGCUUUAGGAGGGUCUGCGGCCUAUCAGCUAGUUGGUGAGGUAAUGGCUCACCAAGGCAUCGACGGGUAGCUGGUCUGAGGAGGACGAUCAGCCCACACUGGGACUGAGACACGGCCCAG
Molecule: ribosomal RNA, 151 nt
Filed under: uncultured bacterium
Lineage: Bacteria
Description: partial 16S ribosomal RNA
Rfam family: Bacterial small subunit ribosomal RNA
Source: RNAcentral